AACGAACGCUGGCGGCAUGCCUAACACAUGCAAGUCGAACGAGACCUUCGGGUCUAGUUGCGCACGGGUGCGUAACGCGUGGGAACCUGCCCUUAGGUUCGGAAUAACUCCCCGAAAGGGGUGCUAAUACCGGAUAAUGUCUUCGGACCAAAGAUUUAUCGCCUUUGGGUGGGCCCGCGUUGGAUUAGCUAGUUGGUAGGGUAAAAGCCUACCAAGGCGACGAUCCAUAGCUGGUCUGAGAGGAGGAUCAGCCACACUGGGACUGAGACACGGCCCAGACUCCUACGGGAGGCAGCAGUGGGGAAUAUUGGACAAUGGGCGAAAGCCUGAUCCAGCAAUGCCGCGUGAGUGAUGAAGGCCUUAGGGUUGUAAAGCUCUUUUACCCGGGAUGAUAAUGACAGUACCGGGAGAAUAAGCUCCGGCUAACUCCGUG
Molecule: ribosomal RNA, 433 nt
Filed under: uncultured bacterium
Lineage: Bacteria
Description: partial 16S ribosomal RNA
Rfam family: Bacterial small subunit ribosomal RNA
Source: RNAcentral